Molecule: ribosomal RNA, 448 nt
Filed under: uncultured Planctomycetota bacterium
Lineage: Bacteria; Pseudomonadati; Planctomycetota
Description: bacterial SSU rRNA
Rfam family: Bacterial small subunit ribosomal RNA
Source: RNAcentral
GCUUAGAGAGUGGUCAAUGUCCUAUCAGCUAGUUGGUAGGGUAAUGGCCUACCAAGGCUAAGACGGGUAGCCGGCCUGAGAGGGUGGUCGGCCACACUGGGACUGAGACACUGCCCAGACUCCUACGGGAGGCUGCAGUCGAGAAUCUUUCGCAAUGCCCGAAAGGGUGACGAAGCGACGCCGCGUGUGGGAAGAAGGCCUUCGGGUUGUAAACCACUGUCGGGAGUUAAGAAAUGCAAGGGUGUUAAUAGCAUCCUUGCUUGACUAAGGCUCCGGAGGAAGCCACGGCUAACUCUGUGCCAGCAGCCGCGGUAAUACAGAGGCGGCAAGCGUUGUUCGGAAUUAUUGGGCGUAAAGAGCACGUAGGCGGCUUUGUAAGUCAGUUGUGAAAGCCUUCUGCUCAACGGAAGAACAGCAUCUGAUACUGCAAGGCUAGAGUGCGGAAGGG